Long non-coding RNA from Oryzias melastigma (Indian medaka), 1106 nucleotides. RefSeq lists it as uncharacterized. The record is from RefSeq and is a predicted model, not a curated record. NCBI's taxonomy places the organism in Eukaryota, Metazoa, Chordata, Actinopteri, Beloniformes, Adrianichthyidae. The transcript is spliced from 3 exons.
AGCAUAAUACCAGCCACCAUUCAUCCCAAUUUUAAUCAUUUCUUUUCAAUCCAAGUUCCAUCAAAUGUCUUGAAGUCUUUGUUAAACUUCACAAACACCAUCUCUGAGUCAAGCAGUUAAUUAGCUGGUAAUGCGCACAGCCUGCCCACAGUCAGAUGAGUGCACAUCAAAGAGGCCGCCCCACAAACCGGCGACUGCGCCUUCCACGCAUCCGUCUUCCGACCGCAAAACCCCAUCAAAUGUGAUGCGACGUGAGGGGCUGCCUGCCAUCUCUCCGGCAUCUGACCUUGUUUUACGGUUCAACAGCCAUCCACUUUUUUGGGGAGGGGAGUUUUUAACGGCCUGCCACCCCCGAGAGGACUGACCAAGUUUCCUUCCCUCUUAAGCAUUAAUUUACAAGCCUCGUCCGCUGUCCAAUGGGAUGAAAGACCACUUCAAGUUCAGUAAAAACCAACUUGCAGCAAGUUUUUGCUCUAAUGCAGUACGUUUUGCCGGACAGCUGGUGUCUGAGUGAAUCUAGAGAAGCAGUUGAGUUUCAACAUCAAAGUGCAGGUUAAGUGUGAUAAGUGGAAUGAGCAUAUGCCAGGGGGAAGAUAAUGACUAAAAAUGACUUUCUGUCUCCCUUACACAAAGAGAGACAGGGGCACAGCUGCUGUGGAAGAUUAAUGGGGCUGCCAGAUGUAGGGACUCUUGAGAGGGUGACCAGCCUAUAGUGCUCUUCACCAUGCUGGAAGAGGACAAAGCAUCCAUCAGACAAGCAUGGAGCAGACAGGCAGAGGAUCGUCAGAUAGGAGUAGAUUCGAUUCGAUUCCAGGGUAUCCCACCUUCGCCCGACAGUAGCCAGAUGAGGCUCUGGCAGCACCGUGACCCCAAAAGGGAUACAGUGGGAGUGACUGCUGUCUAACCUCUGGGUCACCUGAGAGGAGCAUCUGACAGCAUCAGUUCAGGACCAUCUAUACGAUUUGUUUUUCUCCUUCAUCAAGGUUAAAUGGAACAAAACAAUCAUCUUAGCUCAUGUGAACAAAUAGGGAAAAGGUACCCCGAUGUCCUACAACAAGGGUUAUAAAUAAGACAGAAAUCCAACACUUUCUAUGCAAUUUUCUCAA